RNAcentral lists this ribosomal RNA (489 nucleotides) under uncultured bacterium. RNAcentral's name for it is "partial 16S ribosomal RNA". It matches the Rfam family "Bacterial small subunit ribosomal RNA", at positions 28 to 507 of the family's 1533-position model. The record is from RNAcentral.
GACGAACGCUGGCGGCGUGCUUAACACAUGCAAGUCGAACGGUGAAGGGAUCAGCUUGCUGGUUCUGGAUGAGUGGCGAACGGGUGAGUAACACGUGAGUAACCUGCCCCCUUCUUCUGGAUAACCGCAUAAAAGUGUGGCUAAUACGGGAUAUUCUGCGCCUGCUGCAUGGUGGGUGUGGGAAAGAUAUUGUUUCGGUGGGGGAUGGGCUCGCGGCCUAUCAGCUUGUUGGUGGGGUGAUGGCCUACCAAGGCGGUGACGGGUAGCCGGCCUGAGAGGGUGGACGGUCACACUGGGACUGAGACACGGCCCAGACUCCUACGGGAGGCAGCAGUGGGGAAUAUUGCACAAUGGGCGCAAGCCUGAUGCAGCGACGCCGCGUGAGGGAUGGAGGCCUUCGGGUUGUGAACCUCUUUCGCCAGUGAAGCAGGCCUGUCCCUUGUGGGUGGGUUGACGGUAGCUGGAUAAGAAGCGCCGGCUAACUACGUG